Molecule: ribosomal RNA, 322 nt
Filed under: uncultured Glomeromycotina
Lineage: Eukaryota; Fungi; Glomeromycota
Description: SSU rRNA
Rfam family: Eukaryotic small subunit ribosomal RNA
Source: RNAcentral
AGCAGCCGCGGUAAUUCCAGCUCCAAUAGCGUAUAUUAAAGUUGUUGCAGUUAAAAAGCUCGUAGUUGAACCUCGGGGUCUACCCAUUGGUCAGGCUUAAUUGUCUGCACUGGUGAGAUGGAUCUCUACCUUCUGAGGAACUUUCAUGCCAUUUAUUUGGUGUGAUGGGAAAUCAGGACUGUUACUUUGAAAAAAUUGGAGUGUUUAAAGCAGACUAUCGUCUGAAUACAUUAGCAUGGAAUAAUGAAAUAGGACGGACUGAUUCUAUUUCGUUGGUUUCUAGGAUCACCGUAAUGAUUAAUAGGGAUAGUUGGGGGCAUUA